This 252-nucleotide ribosomal RNA is filed under the name uncultured bacterium. RNAcentral's name for it is "partial 16S ribosomal RNA". It matches the Rfam family "Bacterial small subunit ribosomal RNA", at positions 524 to 776 of the family's 1533-position model. The record is from RNAcentral.
UACGUAGGGGGCUAGCGUUAUCCGGAAUUACUGGGCGUAAAGGGUGCGUAGGUGGUUUCUUAAGUCAGGGGUGAAAGGCUACGGCUCAACCGUAGUAAGCCUUUGAAACUGGGGAACUUGAGUGCAGGAGAGGAGAGUGGAAUUCCUAGUGUAGCGGUGAAAUGCGUAGAUAUUAGGAGGAACACCAGUUGCGAAGGCGGCUCUCUGGACUGUAACUGACACUGAGGCACGAAAGCGUGGGGAGCAAACAGG